CCUACGGGAGGCAGCAGUGGGGAAUAUUGGACAUUGGGCGAAAGCCUGAUCCAGCCAUGCCGCGUGUGUGAAGAAGGUCUUCGGAUUGUAAAGCACUUUAAGUUGGGAGGAAGGGUUGUAGAUUAAUACUCUGCAAUAUUGACGUUACCGACAGAAUAAGCGCCGGCUAACUCUGUGCCAG
This 181-nucleotide ribosomal RNA is filed under the name uncultured Pseudomonas sp. Its description in RNAcentral is "partial 16S ribosomal RNA". It matches the Rfam family "Bacterial small subunit ribosomal RNA", at positions 338 to 511 of the family's 1533-position model. Lineage: Bacteria; Pseudomonadati; Pseudomonadota; Gammaproteobacteria; Pseudomonadales; Pseudomonadaceae. The record is from RNAcentral.